GACGAACGCUGGCGGCGUGCUUAACACAUGCAAGUCGUACGGUAAGGCCCUUUCGGGGGUACACGGGUGGCGAACGGGUGAGUAACACGUGAGUAACCUGCCCACAACUUUGGGAUAACGCUAGGAAACUGGUGCUAAUACUGGAUAUGUGCUCCUGCUGCAUGGUGGGGGUUGGAAAGCUCCGGCGGUUGUGGAUGGACUCGCGGCCUAUCAGCUUGUUGGUGGGGUAGUGGCCUACCAAGGCGGCGACGGGUAGCCGGCCUGAGAGGGUGACCGGCCACAUUGGGACUGAGAUACGGCCCAGACUCCUACGGGAGGCAGCAGUGGGGAAUAUUGCACAAUGGGCGCAAGCCUGAUGCAGCAACGCCGCGGGCGGGAUGACGGCCUUCGGGUUGUAAACCGCUUUCAGCAGGGACGAAGCUUUUUGUGACGGUACCUGCAGAAGAAGCACCGGCUAACUACGUG
RNAcentral lists this ribosomal RNA (465 nucleotides) under uncultured bacterium. RNAcentral's name for it is "partial 16S ribosomal RNA". It matches the Rfam family "Bacterial small subunit ribosomal RNA", at positions 28 to 507 of the family's 1533-position model. The record is from RNAcentral.